GACGAACGCUGGCGGCGUGCUUAACACAUGCAAGUCGAACGGUAAGACUCCUUCGGGAGUACACGAGUGGCGAACGGGUGAGUAACACGUGAGCAACCUGCCCUUGGCACUGGAAUAACAAUUGGAAACAGUUGCUAAUACCGGAUAUGACCCUGGACGACAUCGUCGAGGGUGUAAAGCUCCGGCGGCCAGGGAUGGGCUCACGGCCUAUCAGCUUGUUGGUGAGGUAACGGCUCACCAAGGCGUCGACGGGUAGCCGGCCUGAGAGGGCGACCGGCCACACUGGGACUGAGAUACGGCCCAGACUCCUACGGGAGGCAGCAGUGGGGAAUAUUGCACAAUGGGCGAAAGCCUGAUGCAGCAACGCCGCGUGCGGGAUGACGGCCUUCGGGUUGUAAACCGCUUUCAGUGCCGACGAAGGGUUUCUGACGGUAGGCACAGAAGAAGCACCGGCCAACUACGUGCCAGCAGCCGCGGUGAUACGUAGGGUGCGAGCGUUGUCCGGAAUUAUUGGGCGUAAAGGGCUCGUAGGCGGCCUGUCACGUCGGAAGUGAAAACUCGAGGCUCAACCUCGAGCCUGCUUCCGAUACGGGCAGGCUAGAGGAAAGGUAGGGGAGAAUGGAACUCCUGGUGGAGCGGUGGAAUGCGCAGAUAUCAGGAAGAACACCGGUGGCGAAGGCGGUUCUCUGGACCUUUCCUGACGCUGAGGAGCGAAAGCGUGGGGAGCAAACAGGCUUAGAUACCCUGGUAGUCCACGCCGUAAACGGUGGGCACUAGGUGUGGGACUCAUUCCACGAGUUCCGUGCCGUAGCUAACGCAUUAAGUGCCCCGCCUGGGGAGUACGGCCGCAAGGCUAAAACUCAAAGGAAUUGACGGGGGCCCGCACAAGCGGCGGAGCAUGCGCAUUAAUUCGAUGCAACGCGAAGAACCUUACCUGGGUUUGACAUAUGCCGGAAACAUCUAGAGAUAGAUGCCCCGCAAGGUCGGUAUACAGGUGGUGCAUGGCUGUCGUCAGCUCGUGUCGUGAGAUGUUGGGUUAAGUCCCGCAACGAGCGCAACCCUCGUCCUAUGUUGCCAGCACGUUAUGGUGGGAACUCAUAGGAGACUGCCGGGGUCAACUCGGAGGAAGGUGGGGAUGACGUCAAGUCAUCAUGCCCCUUAAGUCCAGGGCUUGACGCAUGCUACAAUGGCUGGUACAGAGGGCUGCAAAACCGCAAGGUCGAGCGAAUCCCAAAAAGCCAGUCUCAGUUCGGAUUGGGGUCUGCAACUCGACCCCAUGAAGUCGGAGUCGCUAGUAAUCGCAGAUCAGCAACGCUGCGGUGAAUACGUUCCCGGGCCUUGUACACACCGCCC
Molecule: ribosomal RNA, 1353 nt
Filed under: uncultured bacterium
Lineage: Bacteria
Description: bacterial SSU rRNA
Rfam family: Bacterial small subunit ribosomal RNA
Source: RNAcentral